Molecule: long non-coding RNA, 2741 nt
Organism: Amphiprion ocellaris (clown anemonefish)
Lineage: Eukaryota; Metazoa; Chordata; Actinopteri; Pomacentridae
Exons: 3
Source: RefSeq, a predicted model, not a curated record
GCAUAAAUACAUCAAUACCAAAUUUAUUCAGACAUAACCAGACUAAUAAAAGUUAUCUUUGGCCUCUACAAUUACAAGAGGUGCUCAAAGUGGUGGCCACUGGCUUCCAGACAUUUCUGUUGUGUUGUAGACGUCACUUGUUGAUGCUCCAUUCAUGAGGGUAGCGCCAUCUGUUGGGAAAACAUCGUACAACAGGACACACAGUUAUCGUGAUUUGCUCAAACUUAGAAAGAGGAAUCUAUAUGUGUAGAAGUACUUAUACAAAUGAAAUAUUUAUAAAAGUUUUUUUUCCUGAUGUGUGUACAUUAUUUUGGCUGACUCUGACUCUGUGAACUUAAUGAGAACAAAACUGUCAUUUAAUUGUUGCUCUUAAAGCUUCUUUAGUGAAAACCAGCUGGUGUUCUGCUUUGAAACAAACUGCUGUUGAGGUCUGUGUUUUUAGGUUUAACCCCACAGUUUCUGAAUGAACUGAUGGUUUGUUUUUUUUUCCUGAUCAAUGUGGACGUUAUAAUUGAUGGUAACAUUUACUGAUCAUAUAAUCAGCAUGACAAUAUAACAGUAUAACAUUCUGACCACCUGACUAAUACUGUGUUGGUCCCUUUAUGCUGCUAAAACUCCUCUGACCCAGUGGUUCAUCAGAACCUCUGGGGAUGUCCUGUGGAUCCUGUGGGUUGCAGGGUGGGUCCUACCUAGACCAGGCUGAUCCUGGACCAUCCCACAGAUGCUCAAUCAGAUCUGGAUGUGGGGAGUGUGGAACCCAGAUGUUCAGAGGGAGAUGAUGCCACAUCUGGUCCAGCUGAUGGAAGGUCUUGAAGUUCUCUGACUGGCCUCGACUGAAGAUGGUCGUCUCACUGGAUUUAAGGUUCAGAUGCUCAGUAACAAACUCUACCAAUGAGCCAACAGGGAAGCUUUAGGUUUAUUAAAUGUUGCUAUGAAGGUUUCACUGUUUUUCUUUGUGAAUGCAAUGUGCUCCAACUGAAACUUGAAUUAGAACUUAGAAGUAAAUCCUUCCAUCUGAAAGGAUUUAGUUGCAUUAAUAACCUCAUAACAUUCUAAUUUUUAUUUCAGCCUUAGUUGGAAAUAGAAUCUCUGUAUUGAUUCAGGUAAAAACUGAACUUCACAGCAUGUUGAAGCAAAACAACCAGAUGCAAACUGUGAUGGUGUUGGAUUGUCAGACCGUAAUGUUGCAGCUCAAAGCAGCUUUUCUAUCUCAGUUCAUUCUGACAUUCAGCUAUGAAUCAACACAGCAGAUGGUGAUCCAUGCUGUGGAAGUCUCACAUCUCCUGAUUUAAUGGAGCUGCUUUGCACUUUUUACACUGUUUAUUCACCAAGACUUUAUUUAAUAAAAGUCCCAUCUAGUUUUUAUGAGGAAUGUGAUGUUUUAAUUCCUCUGUGAAUAACUGCAGUCUAAUGGAACAGCUGGAGUUGUAACAUCUGUCCUGAUAUUGAUCAUGAAGUAUUGAUCAGAAUACUUAUGGUUAGCAGUCAUCCCUGAAGUUUUAUAUUAAAAUCUUUACUUGUGUUGUGAACUUUGGUAAGAAGCAGAAACGUUAGCGUUGCCAUGGAUACAUGAGUGUUAAAUUCUGUCCAUGUUUCCAUUUUGGGAAAUGCAGUCCAGUUCCAGAAUGUGGAGGAAUUUAGUCUCAAUCACAGACAACAAAUAUUAUCUGAAAGUUGGGUUAUUGUUGUUUAUCAGCACAAUACAAAAAGAUUAAUGUUAGAAAUAUUCCAGUUAAGACUCUAGAAUAUCAUGAUUUAUGUCUCAAGCAAGCAUAAGUUAUGGCAACUGGACUAACCUCGUGUGAGUCGAAAACGUUUCACCUCUCAUCCAAGAGGCUUCUUCAGUUCUGAAAGCCUGGUGGGGAGUACCAGAUAUUUAUCCACCAGGAGGGUGGUGGCAAAAACAAGUGGACAAAGACCCGCAACCAACAGACUCGUUAGGUGUUAAUGUGAGUCGUUAGCCUUUGAUGGGCGGUCGUUACCCCUCCCAGCCCUCUAGGAGGGUGGUUGGGGGUCACCUGACUGCAAGUGGGACAGAUGGCUGCACCUCCUUGGGAGGGCUCUAAGAACGGCGUUGUAAGUGGGAGACAAGUGGUGUCUGAGGCCCCCUCCUCUGUUCAAAGAUGGCCGUUCUAGUUUGACAUGAAUGGCUUCUUUUACCCCUCUCUCAAACCAUCUGUCCUCUCUGGCUAGAAUGCGCACCUUGUGGUCAUCAAAGGAGUGCCCCUUCUCCUUGAGGUGGAGGUGGACUGCUGAGUCCUGGCCUGUGGUCGUGGCCCUCCUGUGUUGUGCCAUGCGCUUGUGUAAUGGCUGCUUAGUCUCUCCAAUGUACAGGAGAUGCACAAUGAGGGACGUCUGCAGUGACUGAGAAAGAGUCUCACCACAUCCUUACAUGAGGAAAAAGACUUUAUUGAAGACUACAAUGAGGAAAAACUAUCAGACAGCAGACCGCUGCAUUCAAGGUGAGAUCUGAACAUUUGAUCUGGAACAGGAAUUCAAUAACGGCAGCAUGAGCUUCAUUUCAGUCUGUAGCUGCUGAAUUCAUGGAUGAAUCAUCUGGCACUAGAGAGGAAGACCAUCAAACAUCCACGUCAGCUGAUGGAGGUCCAAGAGUCUCACCCAACAAACAACCUACAGAGUGAAGACCUCCAAUCUGAUUGGACGGCCUCCUAUUCAGCCACGUGUGAACAAAUGCCUCUAAGCUGAUUUGUUUUCUAAAAUAAAUCUAGUUUGAGUCCUAA